AUACGGAGGGUGCAAGCGUUAAUCGGAAUUACUGGGCGUAAAGGGUGCGUAGGCGGCAUGGCAAGUUGGGUGUGAAAUCCCUCGGCUCAACCGAGGAAUGGCGCCCAAAACUGCCUUGCUUGAGGGAGUUAGAGGUGAGCGGAACUACGGGUGGAGCGGUGAAAUGCGUUGAUAUCCGUAGGAACACCGGUGGCGAAAGCGGCUCUCUGGUCCGGUCCUGACGCUGAGGCGCGAAAGCGUGGGGAGCAAACAGAAUUAGAAACCCCAGUAGUCC
RNAcentral lists this ribosomal RNA (274 nucleotides) under uncultured bacterium. RNAcentral's name for it is "partial 16S ribosomal RNA". It matches the Rfam family "Bacterial small subunit ribosomal RNA", at positions 523 to 796 of the family's 1533-position model. The record is from RNAcentral.